CUUUCUUUUCAUGUUCCAUGUACCUUGAAAAUCAUCAUUGGAGCCUGCUAAAUUCGUAGAAUUUGAUUGUUGGUUCUCUUUUUUACCCGCAAAUUUUAUCAUCUUUGUUCCUUGUCUUGACCGCUGUGACCAUUAAAAACAUUUAGUCAGUUGGCAAAGAUGCCCCGUUCCCACUUCUCCUCUCCCUCUUUAGUGGAAUAAUAAAAGCAUUGCUAGCUUUGUUUGUGGGGCUUCCUUGUAUGACAGUUGCAUCAUUCUAAGGACUUGACUUAUAUAUAAUUUCAUUUCCUUAACAAAUUGUUACGUGCAGCGCAAAAGGAAAUCACGUAAAGGUGGAUCUCAUUCAACACUUUCUCUUCUGAGGAGAGAGCUGCGAGAAGGAAACCUACAGUCCCUCUUUGGGAGUUCUUCUUGCAUAGUGUCUUCAUCCAAUUCAGCAGCUGAUCCUUUGUUGUCUUCAUUUAUUUUGCCCAUGGUUGAUGAUUAUGUUAGUGUUCACCCUCACUUUUCUAGCGAAACAAGCACAACUAAGAAAAGUUCAGAUGUGAAUAAGUCGGAAAGGUAAGUUGCGGUGUGUUAAAAUCUGAUUGUUACUUUUGUACCCUUAUUGCUUGAGGCAGGUGUUUUGAAUGCGUGUGGUCUUUUAUCUGGUUAUUCACUUGCAAUCCUAGAUAACCUAAUGGAUCUUGUCAUAGCCUUCUUGUUUGGUAUGGAGUAUAGACGUCUCAAAAAGUUCAGCCCUAAGUGAAAAGGGCAUGUAAAUGUGCUUCUGUUUGUCUUUUUGUUUUUCACUGAGAAGCCAUCUUUUAAGCCAUUCUUUGAGAUGAUGGGGCUAAUUCAACAUUUUACUCUUAUUAGCAUACAAUGACUUUAUUUUAUACAAUAUCAUAUACAAAUGCCUAUAUUCAUUUUGCCACCCUAGAAAUAGAACAUGUUUUGGACUAUAUCAUGCACUUGGGGAUUCAACCCCAAAACUUAUAUUUUGUUAAAGCAAAACUAAGCAGAGUGAUAUCUGUGCUCCUGGUCCAGACUAAUGACUUCCUAUCUAUAUCUUUAGUCAGGGACCCAUGUCUGUGCAUGGCUUUAUCUGCUGACAUUUUUUUUCUCUUUUAAAGUUUCACAAAUUGGUUUAUGCAGUAAAAUAGUUAGGUUAAGCUAUAUAAGUCUAGGUUAGCAUCAAGUGUCCAGCUUCCUUACCAUAUACACAAAUAUGUAGUAUUUAUGAAUUAGACUUAGUAAUUUGGUGGGGAUGAGACUUGAUGCCAGUCUUUGAGAAAAGGAAUGAGACUCUUUUGGCGCAUCUCAGUUUUUGUUUAUUUAUUUAGAGAGUUUGCACCAUCUUUUUUGCAUUACAACCUUAUUCAAAAGAAACCAUUGAUGACUAGCAUUGAAUUUUACUUCCGGGACAAACUUCUGCAUGGGGAUUUCAUGUUUGUCCUACCUAUUUGUUUUAUUUCUAUAGUUUUGCAACAAUGUCUUUGAAAGAUAUGAUAUGAUGCAUUCUGAUAUUAGGCUUUGAUGACAGAAAUGUCCAGUCAUCUCCUCUUUCAGUCAAGGAUCAGAAAGAGAAGGCAAAAAGAUGUGAGUUUGUCAAAGGGCUGCUGUUGUCCACGAUUCUUGAUGACAUUUGAUGAAGAGCAUUCUGCCCUCCUUUUGGUCACUGCAAUUGUGGACCUUAAUCCCUCAUGGACAUUGGGUUCAUGGCGAAGAGCCCUACAACCUGUGGUUGUUACGCUGUUUGUAGUGAAUAUGUUGAUGUAUUAAGCAAAAUGUUGAAAUAAGGUGUAGGAAUGACUGUAAUUUUAGUUUUUAUGCCUGAUCAUGAUUUCCGCUUCACCUUUUAUUUCAGUUUAUGAUAAUAUCAAAAAGAAGAAAAAUGAUUUAAUGAGUGCGCUGAGUUGUUCUAGCUUGCAAGAAACAUGUUGGUUAAUCUAAUCUAGUGACAAAUGCUCUCGUCAUUACCAUGCUGUUGUUGGCCAUUAUCAUUCAAAGACAAAAAAGGUAGCAUAAAACAGCUAUCAUCCCAAUGAUAAAUACGAUUGAUUAAUUGUACUGUAAUAAUUUUAUUACAUCUAAUAUUAAUUUGUGUGACAUUAUUUGCAAGAAUGGUGUUGUUUACAAGUUUUCUUGAGUUAGAAGGAAAUAGUUAAUCACAAACAUCUAACCUUUUAUGUCCGAACAACAAAUGCAAUUGGUUAACUCUGUGUGGAAAUAGUCCAUCAGAGUUGUACUCUUCCCAUGCCUUUGAACCUAAGUGGUUAAUGCCCGUAGCAUUACUGUCAUACUUUAUAGCACAAAUAAUCAAGAGGACAAGACAUUCACACUUUCUUUCUUCAUAGGAAGAGGCAAGGAUGAGACAGCAGGAAGAAUAACAUAAGCAUUACAUGCAAUCAGACUAGAAAAUUUUUGCAAUCUAUUAUGGUGAUCAAAUGAGAAUACUGCACUUUUUGUGCUCAAUGUCAGUGAAUUUUAAGUCUAAAUCAACUUAAAAAAUGUUUCGUUUUUUUUUUUUUCUAAAAAAAUUUGUUUCUAACUCCUAACCAAAAUGCAGAAAGAUACAUUCACUGCAUCAAAGAUCUAAAGACCUAAACUUAACCACUGCCGGGAUCUUGCAUCCAUGAUCCUCUUCACUACAUCUUUUACAAAAGAAUCGAAACAAGUUAAGCAACAACCUUUCAUUAAGCUCGCCUGCCCAGCUGCUACUCUUUCAAUGUGUGUACAAUUUGAUGGAGGCACAACGUGAACCUCGCUCCUCCUGUGCUCAAGCCCACAUGCAGCCAAUAAGGUGUGCAUGGAACUUGUUGCUACGUCCUUGCAAGUACCAUUGUCUGCAUAUUAUAUAAAUAUAUAUAAUUAGUUUAGAUAUGUUCCAAAAACACAAGACAGAACUAAUCACUACAACAUAUUGUUUACAAACAAUAAUGUGAUUAAAAAACAAAACUGAAACACAGACUUAACAUGGUAAUCAUUUAUGUAUAGAAGUUGUGCCUUUUAGAAAUGUGAAAACUGCAGACUAAAAAGUCUAAACGUCAAAAUAUCCCUUACACAGAGUUGAUUAAAGACAGGGCUUUACUCACCAAAAUCAUUAUUGUUGGACAAGGCUUUCAAAUGGCUUCUAACCAUUGUUUGCAAUUGUUCCUUCACCAUCAAAACAUUACCCUCAUCUAUAACAGAAAAAGGCAAGCCACAACCAUCAGGCCCAAUGUUUGAUCCAUUGCUGCACUGACAGAGUUGCUCAUUUGAACCGAUACCAACAAGUUCAGGCCAUAACGUCAAAUUGACAGAUGUACUGAAGGUUGUUGCGGUUGAAGCCUGAACUGCUUGCCUUCUCAAAUGACCCAACCUUGAAGAAAAGAAAUCCCUACUUUGCAGUGACGAAGAGGGAUCAUCCUGUAACCUCUCCUCAAAGACUGUUUGAUAUGAAGUUGCCAUAUCUUGUGUCCUAGCUCGUUGAACAGUUGUUUCCCUACUCUGAUCAAUGUAAGAAUUUACAAAAUCAAUGCCCAUAUUGCCAGUUGAUAUCCCAUUAGUCCUACCAGCCAUAAGAUUCAUCCUAUUAACAGAACGGAGAUUCUGAAUCUGGCGGUGUAACCAUCGUCUUCCCGUUAGAGUUGGAACGCCCACUCCAGAUGCUGGAGAAGCAGCUGGAAUAUCUACAACAGGAAAUCUAGGAGAUGAAAGACCCACAAAACCGGGAGUUAAUGGUGUAUGAGGUGAAGGCACUACAAUGGAGUCUAAACUUUCUCCUACAUUUACGCUGGGUGACAAUCUAUUGUACAAAUUGUUUAUUGCCCUUGGAUCUGGCAAAGAAUCUUGAACUUGGGAACUAGAGGACCCAAGAGCAACGGGCCUGCAACCAUCACAGUACCAAUUACCUUCAGGUACUUCCUGCCUGAGACCAACACAAUAGGUGUGUGCUGAUGAAUCACAAAGAUCACACAGUAACAUGAGUUCAUCAUCCCCACCUUGGUGGCAUUCAGAACAAAUUACAUUCGCAUACGGAUCAAGAUAGCUUCUGAGUUCUUCCUCAGAUGGUUGGUAGACCUGCAUACAACAGACAUGCCCAUUUCAAACCACAGAUACAAAAUAAAGCAAGGAAAAUGAAAACCAUUAAACAUAAAAUAUUAUGAGGAUAAAUAUAACAAACCUGAUCACGCUUGGGGACUUGGAUCACCACAUCUCUCAAAUCAACUCCUGCUGUUGAUCUUGCAGGCUUACUGAUUGUUUCAAACCUUUGCUUGCACAAUGGGCAACGAGAUUCCACUUUUGACCACUCCAUAAUGCAGGUGAAACAAAAAUAAUGACUGCAACAGUUUAGUGUGCCCCUCAAUCUUCGCUUAUCUUCCUCAGAGAGACAAAUACCACAAACCGGCUUUAUUAGUUCAGCAUUUGUUUCCUCUACCUUCUCCUUACCCUUUCUUCCUGGAGGUUUCUUAUGCUGACCUAACUCCUCAACCUCUUGAAUUCUCUUUGAGGUUGAUGAACUCCUCAACCUAGUUUUUAAACUUCCACACAAUUGGUUGGCUUCUUUCACUUGCUCUCUCUCUUCCUCUGAGAUGGUAUACUCAUAAUCAGAAGAUCCAAAUAACACAAAAUCUGAAUCUGAUGGUACAACAUAUGCCUUCUUUCUCCGUCCUUUAUUUGUUCUGCUCUUUUUUCUCACAAUUGGAGUGUUGUCUAUAAAAUCACAAUCAUCAUCAUCUUCUUCAACUCUCCUUUUCCUUUUCAAUCUGCGUUUCUUCCUUCCUCCUUUUCUCAAAGGCUUCUUAGAAACUGCAGUCUCCUUCCUCCUUUUCCUAUGUUUAGAAGGACCCCUUUUCCACAAACCUUGCUUACCAACUUUCAUGUCGAUUUUCUUCUUUUUCAUUGUCAAUUCCUCUUCCUCAUCCAAACAAUCUUCUUCAUCCAAAGUGAAUUCCUCAUCAUCAUCAUCAUCAUCUUCUUCCUCGACCUCCUCCUCCUCCUCAUCAUCAUCAUCAUCAUAAUCCUCAUCUUCCUCUUCUUCAUCUGAUACACUUUUUCGCUUUCGCAAUUUUCUAUCCGCAGUCUUCCUCUCCCCUGCUGAAGACAUCCGUUUAGCUUUUGACCUAACAACCUUUCUCAGCUCUUUCUCUUCCUUGUCCUCUUCCUCAUCAUCGAAAAAACUCCCAAAACCCUCUUCCGGUGGACAGUCAUCUGAGGAAGAACUAUAAUCUUCCGCAUCAUCCCCAGAUUCUUCAUUUCCCUCCUCUGAAACUACAUAAUCUUCAUCAGAAUCAUCCGAAGACUCAUCUUUGGAUCUAACCCUUUUCUUAGAAUUGCUUCUACGACCAACCUUCCCUCCCCUUACCAUCUGUUCUUCCACCAAAAAACAAAAAGAAAACACCCGACCAUUAAUCCCUAUUCAACCAAUAAAUACCAAUCUUCUUUGAUUAAAAAAAAAGAACCAUUAUCAAAUCAAAAUAAAUUCAAAGAUUCUACAAUUCAUUUGUUUCUUCCUUUGGCUUUACUCAAAUGGGGUAGGCAAAUUAAACACAAAUCCUUUAAGGAAAAAAAACUACCAUUUCCACCUAUUAUUUAUCAUCACCGAUCUGUAUUACCAUACAAAACUGAAGAAAACGAAGAAAACCCAGAUUAUAAAAACAAACAUACUAAAGUUUACGUCGACAAAAUUUACCAAAUUUUACGAAAAACCAGAACCAAAAAAAUUACCGUUAGCUUUUUCAAAGUUUAAAUUUUUUUCAGAAAAAGCACAGGAUUUUUCCCAUUCAAAUCAGGAUCCGUUGAGCAUAAAAUAAAAGAAAAUUCAACAAAUUUAUCAAAUUCAAAGCAUCCAUAAACAUCUAAACACCCCUGUUUUUCAUCAAAACUAACCAUAAAAAAAAAAAAAAAGCUUUCAAAUAUCAUAACAUUAAAACAAGAGAGAGAACCUAGAGAGAGAAAAUUAUUACCUGGGAGGAGGACUACAGAACUGAAAAACAAAGGAAAAAAUAUGCUUUUUUCCCCUUCCUUUUGUUUGUUUUAGCAAUGUCUGAUAAUCGUUUUCGGCUGUAGCGUUUUCUUUGUUGUUCAUAGAUAAACAGAGUAAUUUUUGUUUUUACGUGCUAUUUUUUUUUUACAUUUUUUGUAUUAAAAUUAAAUGGAAAUAUGAACGUUAAUAAAUAAUUAUGGCCUCCGCAACUUCGCGACCUCGUCGCGAGGUUAGUACGAAAGUACGGAAAUACCCUUGAUCUUUGUGGAUCAGUUUAACUAUAAUUUUUGACUGGGCUUUGAUUCAGUACUUUACGCCGUAGCGACAUCUGAUGGAGACCCAAAUCGGGACAGUUAUGAUGCCUAAACAAAUCCAGUUACUCGAAUUUCAUCCGUUCGAUAUAGAAUCAAAAUUUUCGAAUUAUUAAUAGAAUAUAAAUAUUUAAAUAUUUAUAUUUAAAAAGUUAAGUCUAAUUAAAUAUUUAUUUUUAACAUAUAAAUAAAUAAAUGAUAAGAUAAAUAUUUAAUAUUUAUAAUUUUAUCGAAUUUAACUUAAAUAAUUUAAAUAAAAAUAAAUCAAUUAAAUUUUUUAGUUUAAUUAUAGAUUAAACUCAUUAAUCACACAACUAUUUUUUUUUGUUUUUACAAAAUAUGAAAUUAAAAUUAAUAACAAUUAUAAUAAUGUUCAUGAAAAUACUUCAUUGAAUUAUUAAAAUCAUUUUUUAUUAUAAAAUUAUCAUCGUAUUACAAUUUAUCUAUCUUAUUAUCUAAUGAUUAAUAAGUUAUAAUAUAACAUGGCAAACUUAUAUUUAUUAUAAUACCUUUACAUAUAUUAAAAUCCCAACAUAUUCUUUCACUUUUAUACAUGGGACAAGUUUAAAAGGUUUAUUAUAGACAUAUUAGUGGGAGAUUAGUUUUUAUUGUGCCUUUUUUUUUUUUAAGAUGUCAAAGAAAGAGAACUAUUUUGCAAUUAUUUUAAUUCAUGCAAUGAAUAAAAACAUUAUAACUUUCAUUAAUUUAUAUUUUUUAAAAUGGUAAAAUUAUUGUUUUAUUUGAAGUCAAUGAGAUGUUAUGACAUUGAUAGAUGAGUUAGGAUUGAGGAAUACCAAAUUAUGGAAACAUUUCUCAAAAUGGAAAUCUUUGUUUUCCAUUUCUAUAUUUUUCUAUUUAGCAAUAAUUGGUCUAUGUUGAGGUCAUUGCCUAAUGAGAACAAGAAAAAAAUCGAAACAAAUAUAAACGUUGAAAAUAUGUUAAAAAAUAUAUAUAUAUAUAUUGAGUUAAUUACACUUUAAAUUUUGUGUUUUUUUUUUUUAAUAAAGAAUUGGAAUUUAGAAAUGGAGGAAAAACUUAAAUAAAGUUAUUGAGGUAAAUUUUGUGAAAAUUUAUACUAAAAUUAAUUAAAUUAAAUAUAAAAAUAAAAAUAAAAAAAGAUAGAUUGAAAUGUCUUAUUAUAUAGAUUAAUCGUGUGAAAUUUUAAAAAAAUUAAUAAUCUUUUAUAUAUUUUUAUAUUGAUAUUUUUAAUAAAAAUUUUGAUAAAAUAUUUUAUAAUUAAAUACGUUUCAAUCAAAUUUGAAUUAUAAACAACAUUUUUGAUAAAGUUGUUUACAUAUUAUUGAUUUUUACAUUAAAUCUUAACAAUAUAUCAAUUUAGAUUUUUCGUUAAAAUUUUUAUUAAAUUAUUUAUUUUAAAAACUUUCACUUAAAAAUUUUAAUAUAAGUUUUAUCUUGUUAAAUGUUAUCUUUUAAAAAUAUAUAUAAAUCAAUUAAAUUAAAUUCUAAAUUUUAAAUAAUUUAUCUUUUACAAAAAUCAUAAUUGAACCAAUUAAUAGGACACAUGUGAUAUUAGAUUACAAAAUGAAAAAAAAAAAAUUCUCCAUCAUUUUAUAAAUCUCAUGUUACUCAUCUCAAAAUUAAAAAAUUUAAGACAUAUAAAAUGAAAUCUUAAACUUUAAAGGUGUUUCUUUCAAGACAAAAUAAAAUAGGUAAGUAACUAUGAUUUUCUUUUUAAAUGAACUUCAGUUUUGGAGUUAUAAAAGGAUAAUAAUUCUCAUAAUUAUGCUAUAUGAUCAAAUGAAAUUAUUAGAAAUUUUUUAUAAAAUUCUAAGUUAGUAAAACCAGCAAAUAAUUGCUCGCCCAUCCUGUAGGAAAAAGGAUGGUUACACAAAUAUAAAAAUGGAAAAAAUAAUAAUAUUUAAUUUUAUGAGGACAACUGGGAGAAGGAUUAAGUAAUAUUUAAUUACUACAAAGUAAAUCAUAAUUUGACAUUUUUUAAGCUUAGUCAGACAGUGUAAAAUUACCGGAGUAACCUUUUACUUGGCUAAACGAUGGAGGAGCGCCGUUGACCGAAGCAAUGGUAGGGUGCGGUGAGCUAUAGGUGAUUAUUGAUGAAACACACGUGUACGGUGGAUAAUAUGGUAGAUAGAUCGGUGGAUGUGUCAGCACCGUCUGCCGCUUGAUCUUGCUGUAUGCAUCCACUUGAUUAGCACGUGAUCGAAAGAAGUGAUAUUGCCACGGCAUAAUUGUAGCUUCCAGGUUUGAUGUAUUUACAAGUUAUCAAGAGACCUUUUUCUUUUAUGCCUUUUCGUUUUGACCUUUCCAGUCGUUUUCACCCAAUGAUACAACUGAUCUUAGAAUUACUGACAGCAAAUUUUUUAUAAAAAAAAUAUGUAAAAGCAGGAAGGAAAAAGGGGUGGAUGACUUUAGCAAGAAAAGAAUGUGAUAAAUCUUAUAAGUAGGGCUCUUUUGCAUGGUCAAUUUCAGCAUAUGCCCUUAUCUUUCAGGGUAUAAAUAAUAUUUAUAAAUUAUUUAAAUUUUAUUAAGAUUAAAUUUGAUAUCAAAUUGAGAUAAAGUAAUUUAAUUUAUCAAAUUAGUUGAGUUUAAAUAUAUUAAUGUUUGAUUCAAGUAGAUUAUUAAUUUAAUUAAAUUUUUAAAUGUUAAAUUAUUUUUAUUUUUUAAUUAAAAAUUUAUUAUUUUAUUUAUAUAUAUUAAUUUAAAAUUAAAUUUAAAUUCAAAUACAUAAUUAAGUUUGAAAUUAAAUAUGAAAAUCGAAUUUAUUUUUAUUAAAUGAACCUAAUCAAAUAAAUUUAAAUAAUUUAAUUUUUAUCUCAGGUCAAAUUUGAAUUUAAAAACUAUAAUUCAAUCAAAUUUAAAUUAAAUUUUAAAUAAUAAAUUUAAAAUUAAAUUCAACCUCAAACUAUUCUAUAUGUCAAUUUAAUUCGAUAACACCCUGAGUCAGAUUCCCUAAAAAUCUGCUUUUUCAAUGGGCUGAGAUUGUUAAAAGCCGAGCCUUUGCUUGAGAAGAUGUCUUCUGCAGUAUAUUUUGUGCCUUAAUGUUCCUUACUUCCUUUUCAUAGUUUUUCUAUUCACUUCUGAAAUGAUGCAAAGGUAUGCCAAAGACUCCUGCAGAUGGAAAGAGUAAAAGAGGAAUUCAUUUAUUUAUCAGAAUUCAGAAAAACUGUCUUCCAACUCUACAUAAAAAGCUUCUAAAUUAAACCUGGUCCUGAGUUUUAGGCUUGUACCCUAUGAUUACCUCAAAAUUAAAAUGAUAAUAUAUAGUUAAUAACCGGCUGAAAGCUGCCCUUUUAUCCAGUUUAUAGUUGCAGGCUGGUAGCCUGUGAAAUACAUUAGGAUUCUUUCUUUCCCUUUCCAUCUUUUCUAGUUUAAAAUGUACAGAUUCAAUCCAUACAAAUGCACUAAUAUUGUUGUCCAAUUCAGCGUCUUGGAGUGUUAAUGACAUCCAUAUGCUUCCUGGUUUCUCAUCAGACCCAAAAAUUUAGGGACCAUUUCUAGUUUAUGACAAUGUGAGGGAACUGAUAAUGAUUAGGAGGAGGGGUCAAUGCUAGUGAUUAUCAACUUCAUAAAAUAUAACCCUUUGCCCUAAAAGAAGAACAUUGUCUACUUGACUUUAUAUUUCCUUCAAACAGAUUCAGUGUAAUGUUAAAAGGGAGCUGGACAAAACAAUUUGACAAGUCAUUUGGCAAAAAUAAAGAUUUGAGCUCUCAUUCUCCUUUUGGCUAGGAAGACUAGCUAAAUCAGCCAUAUACAUAUAGAUUCUAUAAAGUAGAAAAGUAAUGACAAAUGAACAGUCCAUGUCAAGAAAUGGUUUGGCUGUCACUUAAACACAUGGGCUGCAUACAAAUGAUCAACCAAGAUGAUGUUGACUUUUUAUUCUCUUUUGUGUGCCAACCAAACGCUGAGUUUUCCUUUCCUAAAGGCUUUAAAGAGACCAAAAGGGUGGACUUUGUUCCAAGUUGGACCUUAAUUUGGUUUGAUUAGGUCUUUGGUAACUAAACUUGGCUCACACUUUAGAAAAUCCAUCCAAAACUUUGGACAGUCAUUAUUCAAAACUGGGACAGAAUUAAAGGACAUCUAAAUUACUAACUUAAUUCAUCAUUAAAAUUUCAGUGAGUCUGUUCAUCAAUCAGCAUUCAUAUCCAAUCAUUUUGUUUACCCUUUCUAUACAAAUACCAUCCAAUCAUUUUGCUCAAAGCCCACGGAAGACGUCAAUGCUCAAUCCUCGUAAAUUGAAAUCCUUUUUCAAUGUCUUAAAGCUAGCCAAAGGUGACCAAUUAACCAUGAAUUAUCCACGUGGUGUCGGAGACUUGUCCUAAUCAAAGAUCACUUUGUUGUAGGGUUAUCAAUAUUUUUUAUAAUUUGUAUAUUUAUAUUACAUAAAAUAUUAAUAAUUUAUAUAUUUAUAUUAUAUUUUAUAUAAAAAUUAUAUGUUAUGUUUUAUUUUAAUAAAAAUAUAAAAUAUAAAAUUUUAAUUUUAUUAAAUUUAUUUAUAAUUUUUAAUAAAAUUUUAAAUUAUAUUAUUUUUAUAUUUUUUAUUCGUAUUAUUUAUAUAUCAUAUCAUAUUUUAAAUUAUUAAUCUAAUUUUCGGUGUUGCCAUGCCAUUCAAUAUUUAGACACCUAAGUUCCAUUCAAGUUCCAGGGCAAGAAUUUCUGCAGCUUUAGAGACAGGCAUUCUUGAUUUGGUAAGAGUGCCCCUAGAGUUCAAUUGAACUUUUUCCCCCAGAAAAUGAAAGCUUGUCUAGGAUGACAAUUCAAAGUCCAUAACAGGACAAGCUGCAUGCAUUGACGAUGAUAAGUAUUGUCAUCACUUUUCAAAGUUUAUUUGGAAACAAGAUAUAUUGAGGGCUUUGAAUUAGGCCAAUAUUUUUUAUAGGCAUGAUUGAGCUGCAUGGUUCUUGAUUGUGAUAGGCCAAUAUUUUUAUUAGUAAAGCUUAUUUCUUUCUAGUCAAAAAAUAUUUUAUAAAUGUCAUAUUAUAUGCAUUAAACUUUUUUCUCAUAGUUGUUGAAAGAGCAAAACGUUCUAUAGUUUGCAUGUGCAAGUAUAACCCUAGUCUAGAGUCUUUGAAUUUCAAGCUUUUCCUAAAUAAUAAUAAUAAAAAAAUCCUUUGGGUUAUUUCUUUUUUUUUUUUAUUGCUGAAGGAAAAUUUUUUUCAAAUUUUUGCGUUAAAUGCUCAAUUUAAGAUUUGAUUUUAGGUCAAAAUUCUUUAUAUGAGCAAAUUCUAAAAUGUUUAGUUUUGAUUUAAGCAAAAUUAAAGAUUGAUGUAAAUACUGAAUUUCAAAUACAGCAUUUGUCAAACUUUUGCUUUAAGUUGAGUAAUGUCUUUGCCUCUUUUAUGUGGGCCAAUGAAGCCACCUUUUUCAAGUUUUGAGAUUGGGCUGGAAGCCUUAUGCCUUUAACCAAACAAGCCGGCAUGGUACUUUGGGGCCUUCAAUUAGGGCCCUUUUAGACCUAUCUUAAGCCCUUCGAGGGCCCUUUUAGAUCAAAUCGAUGCGUAAAUUUGGUUCGGAUCCGAACCAUGUGUUAAAUGUUCGUAACAGAUUUUUUUUUUUUUUUGGCUAAAUCUAAUAAUUCGCAUAUUUAUGACACAUAAAUUAUUGAAAAUUUAUAUAUUCACAUAAUGUUUUAUAUAAAAAUUAAAUGUUAUAAUUUAUGAUGACAUGAAAAUAUGAAAUGUAUUUUUUUUAUUUUGUUAAAUUUAUUUAUGAUUUUUGUUAAAAUUUUAAGUUGUUUUAUUUUUAUAUAACUGUAUUUUUUUAUAUCGUUUUCGUAUCAUAUUUAAAAUUAUCAGGUCGAUUGUAUCUUUGAGAAUAUAAUUAUAUUUCAAUUUUCUUCUAAUUUUUUAUUUUCAAUCAAAAUAAUAUAAAUCCGAAAUCAUUUCAUUUUUCUUUGAUCCAAAAUGAUAUAAAACUCAAAUUCAAUUUAGUUUAUCUAUUUGCCACUUCUAGAUAUGAUUGUUAAGUAGAUAAUAACAUUAUUUUAGCAAAUGGGUUGCAUGGAUGGGUCAAAAAAUCACAAAAAAAAAAAAAAAAACCCUACAUAAUGUGGGUUCUUGUUAACGAGUUCUUAUCAUGUUUCAAAGAAUCUAAGAAAAACAAUUUCAACUUUAAAGUAUUUGUUAUAUGAAAGAUCAAGUGAAAAUUAUAAGGGGGGUAAUAAUCAUAUAAGCUUUUCAAGAUUUUGUUUGUGUGUGUUUGAUGUUUGAGUUUCUCUAAUCAUGAUUACAUGUUUUGUUUUUACACAUAAGCAAAGGGACAGCCUAUCUUUUAGGUAAUUAAACUUCCAUAAUUAUAUACGUUUAAUUAUAAAUGCUCACAACUUAUAGUUCAAUUACAAAUUAUAAUGCCAUUUUUAUGGACAAGUCUUUGGUUUAAAAUAGGAUAGCUAUGAUGGAUCUCUUAUAUAUUUAUGUCAAAAUUUGAACUUUUUAAUUGAUUAUAUAAUUAUAUUUAAAUAUGUUAAUUUAAAAUAUGAUAUGAUAAUAUAAUAAAAAAUUGAUACGAACAAAAAAUAUAAACGUGACAUUAUUUAAAAUUAAAAAAAAUCAUAAUUGAAUUCAAUAAAAUAAAAAAAAAUAUUUUAUAUUUUCGUAUCGACAAUAAUAAUAACACGUAAUAUUUAUAUAAAAUACAAUAAAAAAAUAUGAAUUGUUAAUACUUUACAUAAUAUAAUAUAUGAAUUAUUAGGUCUAAUUAUAUUGGUGGGUGAAUUUAAUUGGUAACUGGUAAAUCACUUUGAUUUAAUUCUUAUCACAUUUUGCAAAAUAGUUCUUCAGUUUUUUUUUCUUCUUAAAAAUUGCAUAAUUUUAGUGAAAAAAAAAAAAAACUUCUCUAUUUCUCACUAUAUUCUUGAACAUAAGAUCAACUUAACAUGAAAUCAACAUUUUAGGUAUUGCAUCAAAUAAAUUGCUGCCUCGAACAAUUUUGAAGGGUUCAUUUGAUAUGCCACUAUUCUCAUGCCAUAAUCAAAAUAUUAGUCCAUAAAUAUAAAAUCAAUAAAAUUUCCCUAUUAUAUAAAGUUUCAAGAGAAUUAUGAAUAUCAUGAUUAUUUUAUAAUUAUUUACAGUAAUUUAAAUACUAUAAGCAUUUUUUUUUACUCUAAAAUAUUGUCUCUUUGAUUUUUUUUUUCUCAUAUCAACAAAUAAUGUUACUCUACUAUUCAAUGCCAAAUAAUAUAUUUUACAAAUCCUUUUUACCAAAAUUUAAUAAAUGAUGAACUGCAAAAUUGAUUAAAUUUGAAAUUAUUUAAGAAUAUUCAAUCAUAAAUAUUAUUUUAAUCACAAUUACUUAUGUUUUUACUCCUUUUUUUUUUUAAAUUCAAAGACACCUUCAAAUUUUUAGUAUAUACUUAAUUAUUUCUUGAUAAAUAAUUUUUUAUGAUAUUAGAAUUUUUUGACCAAAAAAAUUAAAUAAUUUUUAAUAAACUAAAAAUAAAUAAAUAAAAAAUGUUUAAAAUUAGUCCAUCAUUUUCUCACUCGGAAAAAUAUAAACGGUGCAGGCGCGGCUCUCUCGUAACCGGGAGGCUCGGAACCAGGUUCGGUGUACAGCGUUUCUCUUCAAUAUUAGAGAGAAACUGUGGGAAAAACAGAGACACAGAGAGAAAACAGAGAGAAAGUGAGAGAAAAUCAUUUGAACCUUCCAAAAUUUCUCUCUCUGUGUUUCUCCACAGAGAUAUUCAAUACCAAUACUAAAAAAAGUUAGAAAUAAAAACAAGAAUUUUUUGUCUCUGUUUUUAUUCUCCUCUGUUUUUUGACAGAGCUUUUUUAUUAUAAGAAAAGAAAAAGAUUCAAAUUCUUUUUUGGUUUUUCAUAAUUUGGGUUUUGAAGAUAAAUGUAAAGGAAUUGAAAAUUUAAUUUGGGUCUGUAAAAUCUGUAGAUUUUUGUAUUCAACAGCUGGUUUUGUUACAAAAUGGCAACAGAGUCGAUUUUACAAGUCUCUGUAAUAUCAGCUUUGGAAGAAGUUCUUCAGCAGCAAGAAACUCAAAAAGACGACAUUUAUUUGGCUUCGGGGAAAUCCGAUGAGUCUUGUAAUGAUAUAACUUUUUUUCCAGCUCUGUUUUUGAUUUGUUAUCGGAUUGAAUUGAAUGAUCAAUGGCUUUUUAUUAUUUGUCUUAAUAUUGAUCAAUCUUAAGCUUUGUUGUAAUACAUUCUUGUGUUUUCUAUUAUGAUCAUUAGUUUUAAUCAAUUUCAAGCUUCAGAUUUUAUGAAGUUUCUGUUAAGAGAUUGAAAUUGAUCUUACUUUUACCAAGUUUCAUGAAUUUUACAAUAAUGCUUAAGAUUUGUUGUUGCAUUUUGCAGAAAUGAUCAUAAAAUCUGCAGCUUUAUGCCAAUUUUGCUAAUAAAAAAAGCACAUAUUCCUAAUCUCCAAACAAAUUGGAAAUGCAUUUUGUUGAAACUUCCUUUUCUUGGUUGAUUCUGUGAGCUUGCUUUGUGCUGAAAGAAAGCAAACAAACAGAAACAAUAAUACAUAGAUUUAAAGAAUCCUCACUCGUUUAUAUUUUUGUAGCUUUGAGAAGAUAUGAAGCUGCUAGGUGGCUGAGAAAAACAGUUGGUGUUGUUGGGGGUAAAGAUUUGCCAGCUGAGCCUUCUGAAGAAGAAUUCAGGCUCGGGUUGCGGAGUGGCAUUAUCCUUUGCAAUGUUCUUAACAAGGUUCAACCUGGAGCUGUGCCAAAGGUAUGUUUCAGCAACUAUAUCUGAUGCCACUAAAUUUGCUUGAUACAUUGUCCGACCUAAGGUCAAUAUCUUAUUUGAAUUUUAGGUAGUAGAAGGAGAUUGUGAUUUUGUUAUUAUUCCUGAUGGGGCUGCUCUAUCAGCAUACCAAUACUUUGAAAACGUGCGAAACUUCCUUGUAGCUGUAGAGGAAAUGGGGAUUCGAGCUUUUGAAGCCUCCGAUUUGGAACAGGUUAGUAUUGAAAUUUUAGAUUAAAUGGUAAGGAAGCCAUUUAUGAUUUAUCUUCUAGUCUAAAUGAAUGUGACUUUGAAAUUUUCUUUUUCCAGGGUGGGAAAUCUUCAAGGAUUGUGGACUGUGUUUUAGCAUUAAAGUCUUAUAGUGAAUGGAAACAAAGUGGUGGGAUUGAUUCAUGGAAAUAUUUUGCAAAUUCUUUCGGGACAGGGAAACCUUUCGUACGAAAAAAUAGUGAACCAUUUAUGAAUUCCAUUUCAAGGACAGUGUCAGUGGGUGAGAAGUCUGUAGAUAGCUUGUGUAGUGAGCAGUCAGACCUCAGUGAAGCAGUCAGUGAGCUUUUUUUGCUUUGUUUUUUCAUGUUCACUCUAUUUAUUUUAUUAGGAUUUGAAUGAGAAACAUCUAAUAGCUCAUUUUCAUUCUUAUCCAAAGGGUUCCGUCCGUUCUUUGCAAAUGCUAGUUCGUGCAGCUCUGUCAGAUAAGAAGCAAGAAGAAAUUCCAACGGUAAGGUCCUUCUGCUUAAUUGGUCGGGAUGGUAUAAGAGGAUUAGAGAAGUAUCAAGUUAUUCAAGAAGCUUAUUUGCUACUAAAUAGGCAAAGCCUUUUCCUAUAUAGGAUUAGAAUGGGAUAGUAAUCAACAAAAUGUCUAUCUUACAAGGGAAAAAGUGUUGCUGUGAACUUUCAUUUGCCAACUUAAUUAUUCUUUGCUUCAAUCCAUCUUUUCAAUAGUUUUCUGAGGGAAAACCAUUAACAGAUUGUAGAAUCUAUGUUCAAUAAAGUCUCAGAGGAGUUCAGCGUCGAUUGGCAAGCCAAAAUGAACAGGGGAGCAGCUUUAAUUCUUCCAAAUUGUCAAUUCUUUAUCCCCAAAUGUCAAAGAAUGUCAAUGAAUAAAUUUACUUGCACUCUUUUAUGCAAGUAUUAUUAGUGUUAAUGGCUGUGUGAAACAUGUAUUAAUGGCAUUAUCAGUCUUCUGAUCUCAGUACACCAUUUAUAUAUGGUAAUCUGACAGGUUAAAGCUACUGCAAAGAAAAAUGGAAGAAUCGGUCCCUGAUAAUUCUCUUUCACAAACUGAUUCAUGUGAUGACAAGGUGGGAAAAAUAUUUCUAAGCAGCUUUCAGUCAUUGCUUCAUGUGAUUAUCAUUAAAUACUUUCAUAUCACUUAAAAAAUAUAAUGAUGAAGGUUGAAGAGGAGACCCCCAGUUGAGGAAAUGAUUGAAGAUGAAUCAUCAACAGAUCAGCCAGAGAGACAGGAACUUUAUGAUGAGAAGUCCAUCCUGAUGAGGAAUCAAUACAACAUCUUUUGAAACAGCAGAGAUUGGUUGAACAACAACAACGAGAUAUUAUGGUAUUUGCUGUUAGCAUUUAUUCUAGUUCUAAAUUCUUAUUAUUCUACCAUAGGGAUGGAGUGCUUGAUGUAUUUGUACCUGUAGGAACUGAAGCAUUGUCUUCAUGCCACUAAAGCGGCUAUGCAAUCUUUGCAAAUGGCGUACCACGAAGAGGUUACCAAUCUAGGUGCAAACUUAAGCUUGAUUGCUUUAUGUGUUCUAAAAUGAAAAUAUAAUAUUUCUCAUUCUAGCUUUGUUUUUAAUAGGCAAACACUUGCAUAGUCUAGCUUCAGCUGCUUCGGGAUAUCAGAGAGUUCUUGAAGAAAACCGCAGGUUAUACAAUCAAGUGCAGGAGCUGAAAGGUAGAGUCUUAACAGUUUAAAAGUUUCAUGUAGUGAAUAUAUCAUAAUCAAAUCAAAUCCAAUUGUAUUUUUUGGUAAAUCAUGUUUUAGGGAAUAUAAGAGUAUACUGCCGAGUAAGGCCAUUCUUGAUGGGGAAUCAAAACAGUUGCGAGUUCUGUAGACCACAUGGAUAAAGAACUAUCACAAUUGUCACUCCUUCAAAUAUGGAAAAGAGGGACGGAAAUCAUUUACUUUUAACAAAAUAUUCAGUCCUUCUGUAACUCAAGGUUAGCGCUUACGGCAAAGCACUUCUCUCUAAUGAUUCUAUCCAUGUACUUUUUUCAGUUUGAUAGCCUUUCCUGUGCAUGAAUUCUCUUUCCCUGCAGCGAAGGUUUUCUCCGAUACCCAACUUUGAUUCGGUCUGUUCUUGAUGGUUUAUAAUGUUUGUAUAUUUGCUUACGGCCAAACAGGAUCAGGGAAAACUUAUACCAUGGUAAGAAAUGCAGCAUUUUGUCACCAACAUACUGUAGUCAGUCAAAUAAAGUUAUGCUAAUUCAUCUCAUCUAUGAAUCCAGACUGGGCCUAAGGAGCUUACCGAAGAAGAUUUAGGUGUAAACUACAGGGCAUUGACUGAUCUAUUUCUUCUCUAAACCAAAGGAAAGAAACCAUUUCCUAUAAAAUUCUGUGCAAAUGCUUGAAAUUUACAAUGAGCAAGUCAGGGGAUCUCCUUUCAACAACUGAUGGACUAAAUAAGAGAUAUCCUAUCUAUCAGACAUAUAUAUUUCUCCAAAAAUGUUUAUCUUUGUUAAUUGCGCUGCUCAUACGCAUUUUCAUGUUUUCUAACUCCUAAAUGGCAUUAGAAAUCCGUAACAGCUCUAAAAAUGGGAUUAAUGUCACCUGAUGCCAACCUUGUACGUGUAUCAUACAACAUUUGAUGUCAUAAAUCUUGAUGAACCUUGGGCAAAAAAAUCGUGCAGUUACUCCACAGCCAUGAAUGACCGGAGUAGUCGAUCUCACAGGUCAAGUCUAUGUUCUGGUUUUAGUUUCACAGAUUGAUUUCAUUUCUAGUUAUGGCCUCUAAAACAUGCUGUGCGGUCUUCCAUGGCAGCUGCUAUGACAGUUCAUGUUCAAGGAAAGGACCUCACUUCAGGAAACAUUCUCGUGGCUCUAUGCAUCUUGUUGACCUGGCAGGAAGUGAAAAGGGUAGAUAAAUCUGAAGGUGACUGGGGACAGGUUAAUUGAGGGCACAACACAUCAACAAAUCCUACUUUCUGCCUUAGGAGAUGUGAUCUCUUCUCUUGCUUCAAAAAAUUCACAUGUUCCCUAUAGAAACAGUAAACUUACUCAGUUUGCUCCAAGAUUCACUUGGUAAGAUUAUCUGAAACUCUCCAAUCUAAGAAGGUUUUAUUUUCUUUUCAUUAUCCACUGUAUUCUACCUUGUUGAUCAUGUUAUUGGUCUCAUCUGUCAGGAGGACAAGCCAAAACACUCAUGUUUGUUCACAUUGCUCCAGAGUAUGAAGCUCUUGGAGAAACAAUUAGUACUCUUAAAUUUGCAGAGAGGGUUGCCACAGUUGAACUUGGUGGUGCUAAAGUGAACAAAGAUAGUGAAGAAGUGAAAGAGCUUAAAGAACAGGUUUCUUCAUGUGCCAUUUGGUUCUUUUCUUCUGCAUUUUAACUUAGAGUGUUAGGGCUGCCUACUGCUGUCAAAUCUGUCUUACAGAUACUCAUUUAUUUUGUAAACAUCAUUUCACUUGUUUGCCUUUUUUAACUGUUUUCAGAUAGCUAGUCUUAAAGUAGCCUCAGCGAGAAAGGAAGGAGAGCCCGAGCACCUGCAACGUGCUCAAUCAGUAUCCUGUAUCCCAGAAAUAAAUAGUCCAAAGCUUGAAUCAUCUCCUCUUCCUAAAUGGCAGAGUUUCAGUGAUCUAUCUAGCACCCUUACCAACACUGAGGUAUAAUUUAAGUGUCAAAAUUGGUAGGAAUUUGUUUUCAAAGUGAUUUACUACAAUUUAUGAUAGGAUGUUGAUUUCAGAGUUAACAAACUUGACAACUUUUUAUCCAACUUAUUAAAGUGCUGUAAAGAUUAUAGUAAAUGCUGGUAAAAUCUUUAAAAAAAGUUGGUUAGCUUUUAGAUAAUAUUUUAAUAACAUGCUUCCUUGAAAUCCUUAAAACUGAUUUCACUGAUUAGUAGAAGAAAUCAUCUGUCAGAGAAGGAAAAAACAGUCAAUUUUCUGUUUAUGUAUCUACAAUGUUGGAACCAAUGAUAAGAUAAGCCUAACAUGAUAUUCUUGCCUGCUGCUUCAGAAUGACUCUUCAUCCACAUCUAGGAGGGAAAGCUUGGAAAUCCAAGAGAUGUUAGCAAAUCCAUUACUGUGGCCACCUCUUUGCAGUAAUGCUACAAGUGCUAAGGCGGAUGAUAGAGAUUCAGCAUCUGGUGGCUGGAUUGAUAAAGUCAUGGUGAACAAGCAUGACAACCUUAAAAAGGAUCAAAAUUUGCCAGCAAGUAGGGAAGUAAGCAAUGGACAAUCGCCUGACAAGUUCUAUAAGAGUUCUAUUCGCGGUCCUACGAAGAUAUUCCCAGAACAAAACUUGAAAAGAUUGACUACAAACAAAAAGGGCAACCAAGACUAUGAUCGGCAAGGAGUUCAGUUCGAAGUUGGCUCAACUGAUGAUUCUGAUCAUGAAGCUGCAACUAGUGAUUGUUCAGAGACAGACUCAGUUAGUCAAUCCAAUAUUCCUAAAAUUACCAAUGUUUCAAAUGCUUUGGAAUCUAAAUCAAAGAAACAGCAGCUCAGGAAAGCAAAGAACACAGAAUUUAGGUAAGCUGCUUUAUCAUUAAUAUUUAGAUAUGCACAUUUAUGUAAAACUUUUCAGUUUAUUUCUAGUACCUUAGGCCUUGAUUUUCAUUUUUUUGGUUUGCCACCAGGANNNNNNNNNNNNNNNNNNNNNNNNNNNNNNNNNNNNNNNNNNNNNNNNNNNNNNNNNNNNNNNNNNNNNNNNNNNNNNNNNNNNNNNNNNNNNNNNNNNNNNNNNNNNNNNNNNNNNNNNNNNNNNNNNNNNNNNNNNNNNNNNNNNNNNNNNNNNNNNNNNNNNNNNNNNNNNNNNNNNNNNNNNNNNNNNNNNNNNNNNNNNNNNNNNNNNNNNNNNNNNNNNNNNNNNNNNNNNNNNNNNNNNNNNNNNNNNNNNNNNNNNNNNNNNNNNNNNNNNNNNNNNNNNNNNNNNNNNNNNNNNNNNNNNNNNNNNNNNNNNNNNNNNNNNNNNNNNNNNNNNNNNNNNNNNNNNNNNNNNNNNNNNNNNNNNNNNNNNNNNNNNNNNNNNNNNNNNNNNNNNNNNNNNNNNNNNNNNNNNNNNNNNNNNNNNNNNNNNNNNNNNNNNNNNNNNNNNNNNNNNNNNNNNNNNNNNNNNNNNNNNNNNNNNNNNNNNNNNNNNNNNNNNNNNNNNNNNNNNNNNNNNNNNNNNNNNNNNNNNNNNNNNNNNNNNNNNNNNNNNNNNNNNNNNNNNNNNNNNNNNNNNNNNNNNNNNNNNNNNNNNNNNNNNNNNNNNNNNNNNNNNNNNNNNNNNNNNNNNNNNNNNNNNNNNNNNNNNNNNNNNNNNNNNNNNNNNNNNNNNNNNNNNNNNNNNNNNNNNNNNNNNNNNNNNNNNNNNNNNNNNNNNNNNNNNNNNNNNNNNNNNNNNNNNNNNNNNNNNNNNNNNNNNNNNNNNNNNNNNNNNNNNNNNNNNNNNNNNNNNNNNNNNNNNNNNNNNNNNNNNNNNNNNNNNNNNNNNNNNNNNNNNNNNNNNNNNNNNNNNNNNNNNNNNNNNNNNNNNNNNNNNNNNNNNNNNNNNNNNNNNNNNNNNNNNNNNNNNNNNNNNNNNNNNNNNNNNNNNNNNNNNNNNNNNNNNNNNNNNNNNNNNNNNNNNNNNNNNNNNNNNNNNNNNNNNNNNNNNNAAGUGGGGUUAAUCAAUGAAGGAGUAUUAAAUUUUGAUACCAGCCAACAAGGGACUCCAAAUGUCAAUGGAACCCUCUACCAAAUCAUACCAGACCAUCAAUAAAUGCUUUGUUGAUGGGCAAACAAGCUAUGUGAAAAGAAGAAUAAAGAGGUCAAAACUCCUAUGGCUAAGGUGUUCGAAGUAUUGGUCAAAGCUGACAUGUUGAAGCCAAUAGAACCUCAAAAUUACUCUGAAAUUAACUCAACUGAAACUUAUAAUUAUCAUAAGUGUCACCAAUUUCGUCAAGAGGUGCAAAAAUUGAUGGAUGAAGGUCGAAUAGAGUUUUACCAAGAGAGAGAAGAGUUGGUGAAAGCUGUCUACCAUUGAUUCAAAGAAUAAGUUUGCGUAGACCGUAACUAUCUAUUAUGAUGAAAGCCAACAUGAAGCUAGAAAACCUCUCUCGACCAGUGGUGACAAUUAAAGUUCUGGCCCUUUUUCAUAUCAGAAUGAUAAAGCAGUACCUUGAAGUAUGAUUAUGAUGUCGUAGUCAACCCAGAUGCUGCCAACAUAACGGGUGUAGGAGGCAUAACUCGAAGUGGCAGGUGCUAUACCCAGAGGCUCUAAAAAAGCUAGAAAGAGAAAGCCAAGGUAGGAGAAGAAAAUGAAAGUCAGAGUGGUCUUGACACAACCCUAGAAAAAGAAUGUCAGAAGCCAGUAUCUGAGAGUGAAGCAGGUGAAUUUUUGAAGUUAAUAAAACAUAGCGAGUAUAGCGUGGUAGAACAGCUUAACAAGAUGCCAGCUAGAAUUUCUAUUGUCAUUAUUGCUCAGUUCAGAGUCACACCGUAAUGCUUUACUGAAGGUGCUAAAUCAAGCAUAUGUGUCUCACAAUGCUUCUGUUGAAUAUGUGGAACAGCUUGUUGGUAAUCUGACGAUUUCAAACUAUAUCUCUUUAAUGAUGAAGAGAUUCCUCCUGAAGGUAGAGAAGUACCAAGGCUCUUCACAUUACUGUGAAAUGUAAAAGUCAUAUAAUGGCUAAGGUUUUGAUUGAUAAUGGCUCAUCCAUCAAUGUUAUGCCUGUGACUACUCUGGCAAAACUCCUGUUGAUGGAUCUUAUAUGAAACCUAGUCAUAUGAUAGUGAGAGCCUUUGAUGGAACCAGAAGAGAGGUGCUAGGAGAUAUAGAAGUGCCAUUACAGAUUGGCCCAUGCAUUUUCAAUGUGAAAUUUCAAGUUAUGGACAUCUCCUUCAUACAGUUGUUUAUUGGGUAGACCGUGGAUCCAUAUGGCAGGUGCUGUCCAUCCUCAUUACAUCAAAAAGUAAAUUCAUUGUUGAAGGAAGCUAACAUGUGUGGCAGGAGAAGAAGAUUUAUUGGUAACUCAACCGAUAAAUACUCCUUAUGUGGAAUCGCAGAUGAAGCUUAGAAUGCUCUUAUAGAUCUUUCGAGAUUGCCAAUGCAACAUAUAUAGCUGAAGGAUCUAAAUUGUAUUCCACACUUAUCUACGACUACUAAAAUGGUAGUCAAACAACCUUAUCAAAAUGGGAUGGCAACCUGAAAGUCAGACUUAAGGAAGAACCAUAUAAGAAAUUAUGAAGCCAUCGACCAUAUAUGAAAAGAGAGACAGGUUUAGCUUGGGAUAUAACCGAAGAGGGGGACAGAGUAAAGAAUGGUGGAAUGAGAAAAGAGAUAAAAGGAUAACUAAUCUUAGGGGAUAUGACGGCGUGAGUCAGAACCCAUAGUCAUUCUUCAACCUCUAUGAUUCUUUUCACUCGGAGGAUACAUUUAUCCAGAUUUACCGGGAGCCUCAAGUGCAGGAUUCAUGGAAAAAAUUUUCAGAGCUGGCCAUUCAAAUGUGGAUAUGAGAAAAGAAAGAGUCGAAGUGAAGAGCUAUUCGUGUACCCUUGUCCUUCAGAUUUUGAGCUGGAUAAUUGGAAAGUUACAGAGCUGCCUGUUGUUUUUAAAAACUUUGAAAAAGUAAUGUUGAAACUUUAAAAUCCCUAAUUACUUUCUACGAGUAUUAGGAGAUCUUUUAUGGUGUGUUUAUGUUUGUCAUUUUAAUAAAAGACUUAGAAGAUGCAUCCAUAUUUCUUCUAUUUUUUUCAUCAUUUUACCUUUCAUUUUUUCUUUCCUCAUUUUCUUGCCAUUCCAUUUUUGUGUGCCAAUAUUCUCUUCAUCUUACCCUUUGCAGGGUCCCAAACAAUGAACAUGAAGAUAAUCAUGGCAAUAAUCUCGGAUUUGAUUUUGAAAACUUAAUUCAUGUUGAUGAACUUGAUAAUGAGGAAGAUUCAGAUAACUACACACUGCCUCUUGAUUUGUUAAAAUUAAUAGAACAUGAAGAUAAGCCAAUUGAACCCCACCAAGAAAUUACUGAAUCAGUAAAUUUGGGAGAUGGUGAAAACAGAAAAGAGGUAAAGUUGGUACAUCUCUUUUACCAGCUGAAAGACAGAAGCUAGAAGAGCUACUCCGAGAAUAUGUAGAUGUGUUCACGUGGACUUAUCAGGAUAUGCCAGGACUCAGCACUGAUAUUGUAGAGCACAAGUUACCUUUAAAACCAGGAUGUAAGCCGAUGCAGCAAAAGCUAAGGCGCAUGAAACCAGAGAUGUGCUGAAAAUUAAAGAGAAGUGAAGAAACAAUUCGAUGCUGGAUUUUUAAAGUGGCAAAAUAUCCUGAAUGGGUAGCCAACAUAGUGCCAGUUCCUAAGAAGGAUGGAAAAGUGAGAAUGUGUGUCGAUUAUCGAGAUUGAAUAGCAAGCCCUAAGGAUAACUUUUUUACCUCACAUCGAUACUCUAGUGGAUAAUACUGCUAGGCACUCACAUUUUCCUUUAUGGAUGGUUUCUCAGGCUAUAAUCAGAUCAAGAUGGCUCGAGAUGAUAUGGAGAAAACUACAUUUGUGACCAUGUGGGACAUUCUGUUACAAAGUCAUGCCUUUUGGGUUGAAAAAUGCUGGUGCUACUUAUCAAAGAGCAAUGGUGACUCUUUUCAUGACAUGAUGCAUAAAGAGAUAGAAGUGUAUGUAUGAUAUGAUUGUAAAAUCUCGUGAAGGAGAGGAUCAUAUAGUCAAUCUCAAAAAGCUGUUGACAGGUUGAGAAGAUUUCAGUUGAAGUUGAAUCCUGCCAAAUGUACAUUUUGCAAGUCAAAAAAACUAUUGGGCUUUGUAGUCAGUGAAAAAGGAAUCGAAGUGGACCCGGAUAAGAUACAAGCCAUCCAAAACUUAUCUCCUCCUCAUACCUCAAAAGAAGUGCGAGGUUUCUUAGGGAGAUUAAAUUAUAUUGCUCGCUUCAUCUCUCAACUCACUUAUAAGUGUGAUCCUAUUUUCAAGCUUCUCAGAAAACAUGAUCCUGGAGAAUGGAAUGACGAAUGCCAAGAAGCUUUUGAUAAGAUCAAAGAAUACUUGUCAAAUCCACCUGUGUUGGUGCCACCAAUGCAACAGAAAAACCUUUGAUUUUGUACUUGACAGUGCAUGAAAAUUCAAUGGGAUGUGUGCUGGGACAAAGAGAUGAAACUGAUAAGAAAGAACGAGUAAUUUACUACUUGAGCAAGAAGUUCACUGAUUAUGAGUCAAAAUAUUCCACCAUUAGAGAUGAUGUGUUGUGCAUUAACUGGACAGCUCUGAAGGCUAUAGACAAUAAUGCUUUAUCAACAUCUACUUGAUCUCAUAGCAAAGCUGGAUCCUAUUAUAUGUCUUCGAAAAACUCUCAUUGUACAGGAGAAUCACACUGGCAAGUUAUGCUUUCAGAAUAUGAUAUCAUUUAUGUGACUCAUAAAGGCUAUAAAAAAAGAGUGCAAUAACUGAAUUCUUGCUGAUCGUGCACGUCGAAGAUUAUGAGUCAAUGAAAUUAGAUUUUCCUGGAUGGAUGUGAUGGCCAUUGAAGAAAAUGAACGCUGUUGAAAAUCAUGGAAGAUGUUUUUGAUAGGAGCUGCUAAUGUUUGGGUCAUGGUAUUGGGUAAUUUUGAUAUCUCCUGAUGGACAUAUUAACCAUCACAGCCAGAUUAAAUUUAAUUGCACAAACAAUGUGGCUGAAUAUGAAGGCCUGUGUUAUGGGUCUACAAGCAGCAAUUGAAAAGAAGAUCAAAGUGUUAGAUGUGUUUGGAGAUUCAGCUUUAGUCAUCUAUCAGUUACGAGGUGAAUGGGAAACAAGAGACUCUAAGUUGAUUCGUACCAUAAAUACAUCUCUGAGUUGGUUAAGCAAUUUAAAGAAGUUCAGUUUGAGCAUCUACCUAGAGAGGAAAACCAAAUUGCUGAUGCACUGGCUACUCUAGCUGCAAUGAUCAAAAUAGAUGCAAAUACUGAAAUCCAACCCAUCAAGCUGGAUGUGAAAGAUGUACCAGCACAUUGCUCAGGUGUUGAAAAAGAAAUUGAUGGAAGGCCAUGGUAUCAUGAUAUCAUGCAAUACAUUAAAAGCCAGCAAUACCCAGAACAUGCAAUAAAAAAUGAUAAGAGGACUAUCAGAAGAUUGGCUAUGAGUUUCUUCAUUGAUGGAGAUAUCCUUUACAAAAGAGGUCGAGAUCAAGUGCUCUUAAGAUGUGUAAAUGCAGCUGAAGCAAAGAAGAUUAUUGAAGAAGUGCAUGAAGUUUGUGGGGCACAUGCAAAUGGUCAUAUGAUGGCUAGACAAAUUAUGAGGGCUGGCUAUUAUUGGUUGACAAUAGAGGACUGUAUUGAUUAUGCUAGGAGAUGUCAUAAAUGUCAGAUUUAUGCUGACAAGAUUCAUGCUCCAUCAACAUUACACGUUCUAGCUCCUCCUGGCCAUUCUCUAUGUGGGGCAUGGAUGUCAUUGGUCCCAUCACUCCAAAAGCUUCGAAUGGGCAUAGAUUCAUUUUUGUGAUGAUUGAUUACUUCACCAAAUGGGUAGAAGCUGCAUCAUAUGCUAGCGUGACCCGAUCUGUGGUAUGUAAGUUCAUAAAAAGAGAGAUAAUAUGCAGAUAUGGGCUUCCAGAGAUAAUUAUUUCUGAUAAUGCCAAAAACUUGAACAACAAAAUGAUGAAUGAAGUAUGCACUCAGUUCAAGAUCCGUCAUCGUAAUUCGCACCAUAUCGUCCGAAAAUGAAUGGGGCAGUGGAGGCUGCGAAUAAGAAUAUCAAAAGAAUCCUGGAGAAAAUGACUGAAACUUACAAAGAUUGGCAUGAGAAGUUGCCUUUUGCCUUGCAUGCUUAUAGAACAUCAGUCGAACAUCUACUGGGGCCACACCGUUCUCUUUGGUAUAUGGAAUGGAAGCUGUGCUACCGUCGAAGUGAAAAUUCCCUCACUGAGAGUCCUGAUGGAGGUAGAGUUAGAGGAAGCAGAAUGGGUUCGAAAUCGCUACGAGCAGUUAAACCUCAUCGAAGAGAAAAGAUUGUCAGCACUUUGUCAUGGUCAAUUAUAUCAAAAGAGGAUGAUGAGAGCACAUGACAAGAAAACUCAUCCCCGUUGCUUUGGAAGGAAGACUUAGUGCUAAAAAGAAUCCUUCCAAAUCAACAUGAUAAUCGAGGGAAAUGGACACCAAAUUGGGAAGGCCCGUAUGUGGUGAAAAAGGCCUUUUCUGGUGGGGCAUUGAUUUUGGCAGAAAUGGACGGAGGUGAUUUGCCUACCCCAAUAAAUUCAGAUGUUGUGAAGAAAUAUUUUGCUUAAAAAAAAAAGAAAAAAAAAUGAUGACUUAUCUAAGCUGAAAACCUGAAAAGGGGCUUGGAUGUGAAGCAGAAGCAUCAUCAAGAAAAGAUCCCACAAUGCAGGGGCAAGUGUAGUUUGACGAACUCUGAAUGAUCAAAAAGUCAUCUGAUUUAGUUUUAGAGAAAGAAUCUGAGAAUAUUUUGUUCAUGAUUAUCUUGUGAUCAUUCUUUUGACACUUUUGUUUCAACUCAAACACUUUGACAUGCACUUGUUAUCAGCCAUAUGAAAUACAUUAUCUUUCCUUUGAAAAUAAUGCCUAUCCUUUCUUUAUCCUUAUCUGAUUUUUUGUCAUCGUCAAGUGAAUAAGAGAAAUGUGUGAUUGCAUUUUAUUUGUCUUGAACUUAAAAUGAUGAAAAGAAAAACAAACAUGAAAGAUCUCAGCAUUACUUUUAAAGUUGACAAAGGCAAAUGAAAAAGGAUGAGAAAAGCAUGACAAGACAUUGAUGUUGCAGACUUUUGAAAAAAAAAUAUUAUGGUCAGAUGUUGAGAACAGAUUGGUCAUAUAAGAAUUUUGAUAAAAGAAGCCAAAAGUGAGAGAUUUCGAGAACCUUUUUACUACAAUGAAUGAUUUUGAUUGCAUUACAUGCAUUGCAUUAUGAGCACUCAGUACAUGCAUCCAUGAGAAGUUGUAACAAAGAUAGAAAUUUUCCAUUUCUUAAUGAAAAACAAGAUUUUGGUAAAGACAAUGAUCAAACAAAAGAAUUCAAAAGAGAAAUUUACUUGUUCAAAGAUGAGAACUCAAAUUUGAAAACAAGAUGAAAUUUUAAAGUUGUUGAGCCUCUGCUGAGAGGAGCUUUUUCAAGAGAAUUUUAAAGUUGUUGAGCCUCUGCUGAGAGGAGCUUUUCAAGAGAAUUUUAAAGUUGUUGAGCCUCUGCUGAGAGGAGCUUUUUAAGAGAAUUUUAAAGUUGUUGAGCCUCUGCUGAGAGGAGCUUUUCAAGAGAAUUUUAAAGUUGUUGAGCCUCUGCUGAGAGGAGCUUUUCAAGAUGAAUUUUAAAGUUGUUGAGCCUCUGCUGAGAGGAGCUUUUCAAGAUGAGAUUUUAAAGUUGUUGAGCCUCUGCUGAGAGGAGCUUUUUCAAGAAAUUUUAAAGUUGUUGAGCCUCUGCUGAGAGGAGCUUUUCAUGAGAUUUUAAAGUUGUUGAGCCUCUGCUGAGAGGAGCCUUUUUUUAAACUUUCAAAAUAUUAAUUGAACCUCUGUUGAAAGAAGCCUUUUCUGUCGAACCAAAAAAAAAAUUUUUUUUUUCUCAAUGUUUCAUCUUUCCAAGCAAAAAUGGUUGUUUUUGUCUUUGUCUUAUUCCUGAUUCACAGAAAUAGGCAAAGAGGGGCAACUGUAAACACCAUUUAUUUUAAUUUUAUUAUUUUAUUAUUAUUUAAUUUUUUUUCUUUUCUCUUUUGCUGUUUCUUCAUUUCUGCGUUUUCUUCUUCUUUUUUUCUUUUUCCUUUUUCUUCAUCCUUAUCUGGUUCAAAUCUAGUGCAUUAAAUGCACAAUCCCUAAAGUCAAAAGCACCACUGAUAGCUGCCAACAAUCGACAAGCCACCAAUCAUGGACAGUAGGUGUGAUUUUUCAGUUAAAAAAUGGGAUUCGAAUCCCAAAAAAUCUAAGAUUCGAAUCCCAACAAGCUCUAUAAAUAGAGCUUGCAAACCAGACCAAAGAAGAAACGGAAGCAAAAACGGUAAAAAAAAAAAAAAAGAAUGGCAGAUUCUGUCGAAAAAAUUUUGUAAAAACACAAAAAAAGGGCAAAAUCACAGUCUCCAAACAGGGGAACCCAGCGCCAGAAAAGCCACCUACACAAAAAAAAGAGAUCAGUCAAUUCUAUCCACCAAAAAAAAAAGAAAGAGAAAGGAGACCGAAACUUUGAGCCCCGAUCGACGUGUUUCCGAUAAAAAAGACAUCGGAUCUGAAAAGAUCGCGUCGAAAAAAAUUUUCAUAAGUAUUUUCACCUUUUUCGGUGAUCGAAAACCACCGACAGCAACUACCGGCAACGAGCCAGACGAUGAUCGGUGCGGUGGUCGGACGACUGGCCGACGGACCUCUCCCCCAGCUCUCUCUCUCCGUCAGACAGACACGAAACCGUUAUAACAAAUAUAAUUGAAGCUCAUAGUUCCAUGGAAUAUCGACAAAAAUGGUACUUUAAACCAAAAAGUGAAAUCAUGUUUUACUUUGGUUGGGUAAUACAAGUUUCUUUAGUAAACCACUACAUUGUAAAAGGAAGAUUCUUUUCAUUUGUACAUGCAAAUUCAGCUCAAGUAGGUUGAAUUACUGUAUAUGCAAAUGAAAUUCUUGGUUCAAUUGCCAAUUUUAUGAAGCAGUUGAUUAUAUGAAUAUGAUGGAGAUAUUUUUCCAAACAACAACCAUGUAUUUCUUUCAUAAUUAAACUUGAAAUUAGAGCUUGCCAUUUCCCAAAACCUCAAAAAAAGACCUUGGCUUGUUUCUGAGCCUAGUGACGCUUUUGCAGACAAUUAUAAAUCACGUGGGGGCCUGAAAAUAUUCCUAUCCUGUCAAAACAAGUACUAAAAAUUUUGACAGAAAAUUUACCCCCUCGUGCAUGUUGCCACGUAGACUGCGCCCUUCUCAAAAACCUAACAUAUUUUUUCAUCAACAGAGGAGCGGCGCUUGUGCUGUCAUCAGGGGCCUUUCCGUCAUUUCGUUACCCUUUUCUCUAGGGUUUUUGGUGUCUGUCCCUGACCGCCCUCUCACUCCCAGUCGGUUUCUUCUCACUCUCAUAUUUAUUUUUGCAUUUUUUUUUCUUUCCUCAUUUUAUUAGCACAUUUUAGCUUUUCUUUUCUUUUGGGUUUCUGGGUUUUGUUCUUUGAGAGAAAAAGUUCUCUCCUUUCCUCUUUUCUUAUUUUCAAUGAAAUGAUAAAGGUUUCUGAUAGUUACAAAUUUGUUAUAUCUUUGUCCUUCAAGCUCGAGUAGCCUUCUGUUUUCUUUGCCAUUCUGUUUUAAAUCAAAGAUUUUCAAAGAGUUGCUUCAUGGGUUGUAAUGGAUCUGAGAGGAAAGGUUGGUAAAAAAUCACCUUUAAUUCAAACUUUUCUCCCAACCCAUUGUUUUUUUUUUUUUUUAAUACUUACCUUGAUCGCUGUUUAUGAUUCAGAAAUCAUUGGGUGAAGAUAUGAUGAGUGGGAAUAACAAGAAGUCUUGUACUGAUUGCAAGACCACAAAGACACCUCUUUGGAGAGGUGGUCCUGCUGGCCCCAAGGUAUUAUUUUUACUUUCCAUUUCCAUAAAAAAGCUUCUCUUUUAUAAGCUUCAGUCUAUUGCUUUUCUUUUAAAAUCAACUACAAUCAGUUCUCUGCUAAAGCUUACAACUUUUUCCUACAUAACUUUGUUUCUUUUGUUUUAAUUGAUGAGUCUUUGUCCCAUUUGGUUGCUUAAAGACUCAAAGUACUCUUUUGUAUUUUGGUUAAUAAUCAAUUAAUCAUCACCAGCCUAUUAAUUUAAUUUGCUUAAAGCAUUUUCAUCUAGGUUUCAUGUCUUGUGUUUCACUUAUUUGCCAAUUAAUUUAAUUGAUCCUGGCUUAUGAUUGUUGGGGUUUUUUUGGUCAUUUCAGUCACUGUGCAAUGCAUGUGGGAUCAGAUACAGGAAAAAAACAAAAGCAAUGUUGGGUUUGAAGAGAGGAUCAGAGAAGAAGAAGAAAGAGAGAUCACAAUCAUCACACAGCACAAUUACAACCAGCUCUGCUUCUAUUGCUACAACUGAUAAUGUUGGUGAAAGUAAGAAGCCCAGUGGCAAAUUUAAUGGGUUGAGUGAGACUACGGAGAUGAGAUUAUUUGCUUUGGGAAGUGAGGUUUUGCUGCAAAGAUCAUCAUCAACAACAACAAAUUCUUCAUUAUCAUUAUCUGGGGUGGUGAAGAAGCAAAGGUGCCAAAGGAGAAGGAAGUUGGGAGAGGAAGAACAAGCUGCUUUUUCUUUGAUGGCAUUGUCCUGUGGCUCAGUUUUUGCUUGAUAAUGAGACACAGGCAAGAAACCAAAAGUGGGGGUUACAAAAAACCCUAACCAACACAGCUUUUUUUUUUUUUUUUUUCUAGUUUUGCCUUUUGUUUCUUUUUAGGCGAAAUGAAAUACCCUAGUUCUUGACUGCUGUUUUGUUCUUUUUUUCCUUUGGAGAAUUGAGGGGAAGAAAGAAUAAAAAAAGGGGAGAGAAGCAGAGGAAAGUAAUGUUUUUGUGGAUGGAUUGAUCAUGGCUCAAUCGUAAUGUAAAUAUUAGCAGCUUCGGAAUCAAUGAACAAAUGAAAUUUUUAUCUUUUAAGUGGGCAUUGCAGUCAUUUCAUUCGUACUACGAUAUCUUAUCCAAGCAAUUUAACUGUAUUUGGUUAUGAAUGAUUAUUCAAGCAAAUGGAUUGUAAAAAUUUUGGAUUGUUUAUAGUACUAGUGUUAAUAAUUGUCUUCACUUUGGGAAUGGUUUCUGUUUUAAGGUAUUUUCUUGGGUUAGAAGGGGGGAGAAUUGGCUUGGGCUGGUCAACUCACCCUGCAAAUGGACGACUCAGCUGAGACAAUUUUUUGAGGCCUUUGUUAAUUGGACACAACACAAGGCAACUUGAUGAGUCUGGGGGUGGUUCUGGUUACUUGUAGUUGAACCUUUUCACAAACACGUAAUGGGCUUUUCUGCACGUUUCGAAUCACUGCUAAAAUAAGUCACGUCGCUCUCUCCCUCUCAUAUGUUUGGUUGCUGGGAAACUUAAAGAAAAUGAGAGAAAGUUUUUCAUAUUAAUAAGUUUAUGUUCAUUUCAUGAUUUGAAAAUGAAAAGAGAAAGUAAAAGAAAGCACAAUCGAACUUGGCAAAAAAGUUGUUUUGAUUUAAAACCUACUUCUGAAUGGAUAACAAAGGAGCAAAAUCUUAAGAUUUGACUUCAAAUUUUAACUUUUGUUUUGGGUUUCUUUCUUUUUAUUUGAACAUUGAAACCAAAUGGAGCAUUAAAUUGCUUUUUGUGAAUCCAUUAAAGUGUGAUUCUUUUUUCUUUUAGCUAUCAAAGAGCUUCAUCUUCCCUCUUUUUCUUUAAUUGUAAUAUUGAUGUCAAAUAAAGCGAACUUUCUCUGAUUUUUCGUCAUUUUGGUUCAGUUUUUGGUGUAAAGGUUGGCUUAAAAGGUGUAGUUCUUAAGUUCAUAGUGAUUAGUUGGUAUAAAAUUAGGAUUAAAGUUCACUCCUUGAUGGCUUGUUCAACAGUUUUCAAUGAUGUGAGAUUGGUAAACUUCCCCAUAGAAACUAGUUUGAAGAUGGGAUUUUUGAAGGUUUCUCUUCAUCUCCUUUAUUCAAGUUUACUUUGCUUUUAGUUUAUCUGAUCUGGUCAGAAUCAUAUUUUGGUCUUAGUUUGAUUAAUAGGAAUCUUUAAUUUGGAGUCGUAGUUCAAGGCAAUUUAUCUUGUGCAAGAAUGGGAUAAUAAUCGCCACUGUGGACUACAUUCAUGAAGUUAUUAAAUCUCUUUGUGGAUGGAUUAUUCAAGUUUACUUUGAAUUUAAACAAAACAGAAAUAAGUGAAAAUCAACAGCUUCAGUACUGUGGAAUUCAACAGAUGAUUCCAAAGAAAAAAUGCUUAGUUGACCUUGUGACAUUUAUCAUUUACGAUACUGAGACUUCAGGUCUUAGCAGAAAAGAUGAUAGAAUCAUUGGGAUAGCUCUUCAAGAUCUGUCUGGAGGUCAAAACGGUACAUUUCAGACAUUGGUUAAUCCUGGACAGUAUGUAGCAAAUUCACAUAUCCCUGGAAUCACAACCAACGUGGUUUGUAGACCUGAUGUUCCAAGGUACAAUAUUUCUUAAUUGCUCUUUAUUUUCUUUGGUUUCUUCCACCAUUUAUGAAGUCAAAAUGAGAAAUUCAGUUUAAUGGGUGAUUUGUUGCAGUUUGUGCUUAUAGAUUACUAUAUGGACCUUUUGAAGGAUGGAGGAACUAAUCUCUGUUGUUGACAUGGUUUAGUUGUAUGUAAAAGGCUUGACAUUGAAUUUAUAUUUAUCCACAGGAUCCAACCUCCCCUCUGGAACAUCCUUACAAGCCCUUAGCGAGCACUACGGAAUUCCUGUGGCUGGUUCAGCUCAUAGAACCAUGUCUGAUGUAAGAACCUUAGCCAUGAUUCUACAGAUGUUGACAUUCGACUUGAAACUCUCACUCCCUAACCUUGUGAGAAGAUCUCCCACAGUCUUCCAAUAUAUCAACAACAAAAGGAAAAAGAACUUAGCUCAUGUAUCCGCAUUUUUUAUUUUUUUGGAAAUUUUCAACCAUUUCAGGCCGACAUAUACUUCAGCCGUGUAAGGAUGUAUGUUUUUUCCCAUGACUUUAGCUUCUAUUAUUUGAACAGCUAGCACCAUAGAAAGGUUUGAUUUGUUCUGUUCACUAGAAAGUAUUGUACAAUGCUGCAAGAGAAUAUUGCCUUUGUUUUCCACAGAAUGACACCCUUUGUCAUUGAAAUCUCCAUGAUGAUGAUAAAACAAGAGGACGAUAUAGGGCUAAUUCUGCUCUGCAGGUAUGGUUAACUCUGAUAGAUUCUGGAAAUGCGAAACAAGAAGGAUUCCUACUUAUUGUAAAGGAAUUGGCUUAAGUUGUUGCCAUUUCUCCUGGAAGCUCCAAUAAAAUGUACGAGUUUUCUGUUUUCAGGGGAAAAAUACAACAAUGCUUUCGUUGAGAGUUGAACUCAAGACCUCCCGCUUACUAAACGGGUGCUCUAACCAACUGAGCUACGAAAGCAGCAGUGGUGAGUUUCCAAAAUUAAAUAUGAGAAAAAAACAACUUACGACUUCACGCAGUCCCCCCAGAGGAGAAUUCGGCCUUUUACGCUCAAUUAUCAAGGCAAUCUUAUCAUGACAAAUUCAAGGGGUAAAUUCCGUAGAAUGUCAGAGUCUCAUAUAUUAUAACAAUGUGAAUUUGUCAUUUUUUUUUUCAAAUCAAAAGAAUUGAUACAAGUAAAUAGGCAGUGCCUCAUCUCCUCGUAUGGGAACCAGCUAGAUAUCUCCCAAGGAAUACAAACGAAUCAAUACAGCUCCUUGCUGAAGGAAAAAAAAAAAAACCAUUAUAAGCUCUAUACAGAUCCUGGGGCAUCGAAACCCUGGUUAAACAACAGCCUUUCCCCCUCUUUUUCUCCAAAACCUUAACAAAAAGGGACAAGAAGAGAAAAACGAAGAGAAAGAAAACAAGUAAACAUGAAUAUUUAAAGUGGUAUGUGUAUAUGGGGAAAUUCAAAAUUCCCACAUUCUUAUGCUGGCCGAGGAAAUUGUUGACUCUCGACAUGUCAAGUAAUGGGCCCACAACGCGGGUCAAAAUGGAAAUGGUCAGGAAAAAACCAUGCCUGCAGAUCAAAAAAGUAUCUCUUUGAGGAUUAGGAGGACCAACAUGACAAAGCACAUAAUAACAAGCACUGAAGCACACAUCACCAUCCCUCCUUGUUUCUGUGUUCUCUCCGCCUGCAUGUCCAAUCCAUACAAGAAUUAGACAGAGUCCCAGAAAACAUCUAAAUGUAGAUCACUAAUGGAAAAAGACAGAAACCUUCUGUAGCUGUUUGAGGCCUUCCUCCACCGUAGUUGCAACAUUCUGAAUGUUGUAGUCUAUCCGAUCGACAAUAGUGCCCUGUUUAGGGAGAAAACUGCAUUUAAUGACUCCGGAAAAGUUUGUAACUUAUUCCCAAGGCUAGAUGGACUCCUACCUGAUCAAUCACAAGAACUGACAGAUCCUUCAUAAUCUGAGCAACCUCAUUUACUGACUCCACAACCUAUAAAAAGUAUUUUAAUAUAUAUAAAUAAUUAGUUAGGGAUAGCUAUGAGAGCAGAAUCAGAUAAGAAAAAUAUCAAGAGUAAUGCACUUACCUGUUGGAUCUCCCUUUCCCUCUCAACUGUGAAUGCCUCACUUUGCUUUAGCUUUGCCAUUUGAUGCUCAUUGAAUACCUAAAUGACACAAUUGUGAAACAUUAGCAUCUAACACCAAACUGGAAUCAAUAAAAGACACUAAACUAUCAAAGCCGAAUAUCAAAGGAGAGAUAAGAAAGUCAAGUUAGGCACAUUUCGGAGCUUGAUGUCCAACAUGCAAUUGAGCUUCAAUGCAUGCUAUUGGGAGGUCAGCACCCUAAAACUCAUGUUUACUAAAAUGUCUUUAGUUUGAUCAUAUAUGAUGGAAAUAUUAAACGGGAGAGGGUUUAAAGAAACCACAAUACCAUAUCACCCAAGUCAUCAUCUUCUGCUUUAGAUCUAUUUCCAUUUAGAUUCAUCUCUAGAUCAACUCCAUCCUGACCCUAAAACAGCAAGCAAUAAUUUAGUUACACCAAAAACAUCAAAACACAGAAAUGAAUGGAAUAAGUUUGAAAUUGAAUCUGUUUGACCAUUUGGGCUUUAGCACAUGUAACUGCAACCAAAUAUGAUACAAUGUUGCAUUGUCAAAAAGAAAGUUUCGUUCUAUACCUCUUUUUGCUGCCUGAGGCGCUUCAAAUAAGUUGAAUUGUUUCUCCGGAGCUCCACUGAAAGCUUCUGGAGGUCAGUGGCAAGUGAACGCUGCCAAAAGGUGAAAAACAUGAAAAGAAAGAAAUGCAAACAAAACACAGUUCAGAAUCAUUGCGGGAAUACAAACUGAAAUAAAAUGUCAGAGGGCAAAAAAGAAUAAAGUACUAGACGUCAGGAAUUAACUACUUCCCUCUGGCAAUGAGACCGGGUUUAUGGACUAGAAAAAUCAAUGCCUUUUAUCCUCUCCAAAUCAGUAACGGAAAGAAGUAAAGAAAGCAUACACGCCAAGAAUAGAUAAAUUAUGCGUAGAAGUCUUUUAUCCUCGACAAAAAAUGGAGCACUUGACACUGUUUCAUGUUUGUCUCAUCCUCUCCAAGAAUGUUGUCUUAACAGUUGGAAACUGAAAUAUGCUACUUCUAAAAUUAGGCCAUUAGACAAUCACUGAGCAAACAUAAAUAGAAUCCACAUCCACAUACAAAAUGAAUAAGUGACAGGCGACAAUCUUGCCUAAAUGAUUGGAUUUCCUGACCUUGACAUAGAGCCACACAAGUGAAUUUGAUGGCCACUAAGCCUUACCUGAACAUUUUUCCUGAUAUUUGAAUCCUCAGAAGGUCCAGCUUUGAGUUUCCGUAAUCUCUUCUCUGAUUGCUUCAACAGAUUAGUUAUCUCAUGAGUAAGAGCCUCAAUAUUCUGAUGAUCUUCUUUACCAUCACCAAAUGAAGGCAUUAAAGCCUUUGCAUGAGCCUUGGCUAACUCGGCCAUUUUUGUCUGUGCACGUUGCACGUUUGCUGCUAUUUCUUCAGAUACAUCUACCCAAGCUGGUGGUAGACCGACGGUAAUUGCACCCGUACUGCAACAGGCAGACAAUCCCUUAUUUUCCCACUACAUAAUUUUAUGACCAUUCAAACAAAGUACUUAAUAGAUGAACUCACAACUAGUUGAAAGAGAAAAUGAACUUCAGAAGAAAUCCCGAUAGUAAUUAUAUCUACAUUUCCCUCACUGUAAAGCCUUGAUCUUUCACUGUACUGCAUAAACCUCCCCAUGAGCUCCAGAGCUCUUUCAAAAUCAUUUAAAUAUCUCAUAACUAAAUAAUUCUCAUAAGAAUUAUUCAUUGAUCAACAACAAUUCAACCACAUUCAUUUGUACGGAUCUCUUCGAUGCCAAUUCCUCAAAAGAUAGUUCUUUGUACAAACAAAUUAACACUUUAUUAAACUUUUGAUUAGCCUAAACCUCUAUAUGCAAUUUUAGAAAAACAAAAUUAAAAAAGGAGAAUAAUUCACCUCAAUUAAGCUAACUAAUCACAAUCUAAACAAAUUCAAGCAUAAUUAAAAAAAAAAAUUCCGAUCUCGAUCUUGAAUUCUUGACCUUGAUUCAACAAUUAAUAGAAAAAAUUAACAUGAUCAAUAUAAUAGUUGGAAAUAUAAUAUUACCUGAAUUUCCCAGGAUCCUCGGUACGUAGAGGAGUAUAGACCGGUUUUGGAUGGAGCAACGAAGUACUAACCAUCUCAAUUACAGGUCCUGCACCGGAGCUUGUCGCUGCGGACAAGCUCACCGGAAUUCUAACACUCUUCAAGGCAUCCCUGUAUUUCUUGAAUAUCAGCGUUCGUUUCCUCGUCGCCAUAGCUCCAAAACGAAAAAUAUAUAUUGCCUAAAAUUUAAAUCUAAAUCUAAAUUCAGAUUCAGAUUAAGAAUUUAGAAAUCUAAGAUUUGAGGUUUUCUCAUAGUGGAGGUAGAGAAAAGCAAAAUUGAGGGGUGGCCACGUGACCGGAGGUCGGUGAUUGGCAGUUGAACAGAAACGAACGACGGAGUCACGUGCCGACGAAGCUGAGGAUCGUUCUUAAAAGGAACCCAAAAAAAGUAUAAAUGAAAAAAUGAUUGGGUGCGGACGGACGAUUUUUUAAAUUUUAUUGGGCUCUUAGUUUCCAAUUAGGUCGGCUUAAGUUAAUAGCGAAGGGUCCUACUCUACAGUGACAUCUCGACCCGACCCGAUCCGAAUCACAUUAUGACAGUAACAGGAUAAAGAGAACAAUAUAAAAGGCCAAGAGUUGCUAAAAAAUUUCCCUUCUUCCACGCAAUUAAGAGGAACAACCACAAGCAGCUCUAUCCAUCUCUCUCGCUUUCAUCAAACCCCACAGACCUAGCAAGCUUCCUUCUCUCUUCUCCUUUCUUUUUUAUUGGAUUUUUAUUAAUCUAAUUUACUUCACAAAUCCAAGAUCGGUGCUAAAAAAGUUUCGAGCUGUAACCCCCAGGAAUUAAAUCUUUCUUUUUUUUCUUUGGGUUGAAGAUUAAUUGGAGAAAGAGGUUGAUUUAGAAAUGGAUGCUGGUUCAUGGAGUGCUCGUCUUUCUUCAGCUUCUAAGAGAUAUCAAUCAGCUCUUCAAUCACGAUCUGGUAAGCUUUAAAAUCCCUUCUUUUUUUUCAAACUCUUUUGGGGGUUAAAUAUAUAUUUUUUGUGUGGUGGACAAUGAAGGUAAAUGAAGUAACUUGACUUAAUUGAUUUAGAAAAUAUUAGAUUUUUAACAAAAGUUUUGCCUUUUUCUAAAAAAAAAUGAUUUAAUGUUUGGAAAUGGGUUGAAAAUGCAGAUAUGUUUAUGGGGUUUGAAGAAAUAGAUGGAGAAGAUGAUAUAAGAGAGGAAUUUCCAUGCCCUUUUUGUUCUGAGUAUUUCGAUAUCGUCGGCUUGUGCUGUCACAUUGAUGAUGAGCAUCCUGUGGAGGCUAAAAAUGGGGUAUUGCUCUCUUUUCAUUUAUUUUUCAAUGCCCUUUUUAUCGUUAUGUAUUAUAAGCAAGAUUAGUAUUUUGGAUUGUUAAUUUUUUACAUGAUCGUUAUCUUUGUAAAUAAGAAUUUUUCAAAGUAGCAUAGUUCACUUGCCUGAAUUAAGCCUUGAAUUCUGAUCAGUCGGUUAAAAGGAAUUAAGAAGGGGCUUGUUUGUUAUGGACCCAAGUUUCAAAUUUUAAACUUUCGCCUCAAAAGUUACAUUUAGCUGUUAUUUUACUUAAAUGAUUCUUUUGAUAGUUAGAAUAUUGACGUUUGUUAUGAGAUUGAAAAUUUGAAUGAAUAAGUUUUGGACCAUGAGCUGUUGUUCAGCUCACUGGAAAAAUUGGCUCUAGUGUUGAUUUUGCUUACAAGUAUGGUAUUGAUACUGGUUUAUAGUAGGUUGAUCUGUAAUAUGUAAGUUUGGGAAAAGUAGUUUAUAGUUUUUGUUUACAGAUUGUUCUGUCACAUGGUGCGAGACCUUUUAUUGUAAUGGGGAAAGGUAUUUAUUGAAUCUAAACUCUGUUUGUGAUGGUUGUUUUUGUUUGCAGGUAUGUCCGGUCUGUGCAACAAGGGUGGGAGUUGAUAUGGUUGCGCAUAUAACCCUACACCAUGGAAAUAUAUUCAAGAUAUCCUUGUCUAUUGAGUUAUUGUUUAUGAUAGAUUGUCUUUGGAAUCCCUCUUUAACCUGUAUAGAUAAGUUCUUUCUUUUCAUGUUCCAUGUACCUUGAAAAUCAUCAUUGGAGCCUGCUAAAUUCGUAGAAUUUGAUUGUUGGUUCUCUUUUAUACCUGCAAACUUUAUCAUCUUUGUUCCUUGUCUUGACCGCUGUGACCAUUAAAAACAUUUGGUCAGUUGGCAAAGAUGCCCCCUUCCCACUUCUCCUCUCCCUCUUUAGUGGAAUAAUAAAAGCAUUGCUAGCUUUGUUUGUGGGGCUUCCUUGUAUGACAGUUGCAUCAUUCUAAGGACUUGACUUAUAUAUAAUUUCAUUUCCUUAACAAAUUGUUACAUGCAGCGCAAAAGGAAAUCACGUAAAGGUGGAUCUCAUUCAACACUUUCUCUUCUGAGGAGAGAGCUGCGAGAAGGAAACCUACAAUCCCUCUUUGGGGGUUCUUCUUGCAUAGUGUCUUCAUCCAAUUCAGCACCUGAUCCUUUGUUGUCUUCAUUUAUUUUGCCCAUGGUUGAUGAUUAUGUUAGUGUUCACC
Molecule: long non-coding RNA, 38717 nt
Filed under: Durio zibethinus
Lineage: Eukaryota; Viridiplantae; Streptophyta; Magnoliopsida; Malvales; Malvaceae
Description: long non-coding RNA (DZIB_LNC002367)
Source: RNAcentral